This is a non-coding RNA of Populus trichocarpa (black cottonwood), 155 nucleotides long. The record is from Rfam. NCBI's taxonomy places the organism in Eukaryota, Viridiplantae, Streptophyta, Magnoliopsida, Malpighiales, Salicaceae.
UCUAGAACUCGAGAUAUGGCUGAACACUGAACAAUGUGUAGGCUACAGGACAGAUUCAGACUUCUCUUUUGAUGCUAAGAUUUGGACUUUCAAACGGCAAAAUUGAGUUUUGGACUCUUCUUAAAUGUUUUAGGCCUAUGUCUUAGCUUUUUAGC